RNAcentral lists this ribosomal RNA (466 nucleotides) under uncultured bacterium. Its description in RNAcentral is "bacterial SSU rRNA". It matches the Rfam family "Bacterial small subunit ribosomal RNA", at positions 917 to 1382 of the family's 1533-position model. The record is from RNAcentral.
GGGCCCGCACAAGCGGUGGAUUAUGUGGAUUAAUUCGAUGCAACGCGAAAAACCUUACCUGGCCUUGACAUGUACGGAACUUUCCAGAGAUGGAUUGGUGCCCGAAAGGGAGCCGUAACACAGGUGCUGCAUGGCUGUCGUCAGCUCGUGUCGUGAGAUGUUGGGUUAAGUCCCGCAACGAGCGCAACCCUUGCCAUUAAUUGCCAUCAUUUAGUUGGGCACUUUAAUGGGACUGCCGGUGACAAACCGGAGGAAGGUGGGGAUGACGUCAAGUCCUCAUGGCCCUUAUGGCCAGGGCUUCACACGUAAUACAAUGGUCGGUACAGAGGGUAGCCAACCCGCGAGGGGGAGCCAAUCCCAGAAAGCCGAUCGUAGUCCGGAUUGCAGUCUGCAACUCGACUGCAUGAAGUCGGAAUCGCUAGUAAUCGCGGAUCAGCAUGUCGCGGUGAAUACGUUCCCGGGCCUU